RNAcentral lists this ribosomal RNA (383 nucleotides) under uncultured eukaryote. Its description in RNAcentral is "partial 18S ribosomal RNA". It matches the Rfam family "Eukaryotic small subunit ribosomal RNA", at positions 592 to 976 of the family's 1831-position model. The record is from RNAcentral.
CAAUAGCGUAUAUUAAAGUUGUUGCAGUUAAAAAGCUCGUAGUUGGAUUUCUGGUAGGAGUGACCGUUCCGAACUUGAUUGUUCGUGUAUUGUGUUUUCUCCAGCCAUCCUUGUGGAGAACUUUUCUUGAAUUAAUUUGUAGGGAUUGGGACCCGCAUCGUUUACUGUGAAAAAAUUAGAGUGUUUAAAGCAGGCAAUCGCUUGAAUACAUUAGCAUGGAAUAAUAAGAUAGGACUUUGGUACUAUUUUGUUGGUUUGCAUACCAAAUUAAUGAUCAACAGGAACAGUUUGAGGAUAUUCGUAUGAACAUGUCAGAGGUGAAAUUCUUGGAUUUUGAUCAGACGAACUACUGCGAAAGCAUUUAUCAAGGAUGUUUUCAUUAA